Molecule: ribosomal RNA, 1244 nt
Filed under: Kilauella sp. KispEL
Lineage: Eukaryota; Metazoa; Arthropoda; Insecta; Psocodea; Elipsocidae
Description: 16S ribosomal RNA
Rfam family: Archaeal large subunit ribosomal RNA (bases 1013-1171)
Source: RNAcentral
AUUAAUAGUUUUCUUGAAUAAUAAAUAUUAUUACUACUAAUGAAAUUGUUCUAUUAAAUAAAAGAUUAAAAGUUAUAUUAAUUAAAAUUGAAUAAUAAUGAGUUAUGAAAGUUUAAUGUACAAAAAUGGAUUUAUUAAAAAUAGAAAAAAUGUAAAAUAAAAAUUUGUACCUUUUGUAUCAGGGUUUUAUGAAAAAAAAUUAAAUAAAGCAUUCUCGAAAAAUUAAGAUUUAAUUUUUUAUAUUUUUUAAUGUUGAAAAAUUAUAUAUAAUAAAAAAUUAGAAAUGAAAAGUUAAUCGUUUAAUUAGGAUUCUAGUUUUUAAAUAAAUUAAUUUAAUUAAUGAUUUAUCAGUUAUUUAAGUAUAUUUGUUAAUAUCAAUAUGGUAAAAUAAAAAUUGUAAAAAGUUUAGUUUUUACAAUAUUAAUAUUUAUUUAUUAAAAACCUUUUUUAGAUUUAUAAUUGUUUAUAAAAUAUAAUUUUUUACAAAAAUUGGUUUUUAUAUUUAUAUUUAUUAAAAAAAUUUAAUUUAUAUUUAAAAACUAAUUCUAACAAUUUAAAUUAGUCUAUAAUUUAAAAAUUAGUAAAUUUGUAAAAUAAAGUAUAGGAACUCGGCAAAUUUAAUUUUCGCCUGUUUAACAAAAACAUGUCUUUAAGAAAAUUUUUUUAAGUCCUGUCUGCUCACUGAAAUUUAAAGAGCCGCAGUAUUAUGACUGUGCAAAGGUAGCAUAAUCAAUAGUUUUUUAAUUGAAAACUGGAAUGAAAGAUAAGACGAAAAAUUAACUUUCUUUACUUUAACUAAUUGAAUUUAAAAUUUAAGUUAAAAUUCUUAAAUAAAAAUGAAAGACGAGAAGACCCUAUAGAUUUUUAUUUUUAGUUUAAUAAAAUAAAAAGGUUAUUAAAGAAAAAUUUAAUUGGGGCGAUUUUGUAAUCAAAAUAACUUAAUUUUAUAAAACCAUAAAUUAUUGAAUUUUUUGAUCUGAAAAUUUCAAAUAAAAGAUUAAAUUACCUUAGGGAUAACAGCGUAAUUUUAUUUAAGAGUUCAUAUCUAUAAUAAAGAUUGCGACCUCGAUGUUGAAUUAAGAAAUACAUUGGAGCAGAAAUUAGUGUUAAUAAGUCUGUUCGACUAUUAAAUUCUUACAUGAUUUGAGUUCAGACCGGCGUGAGCCAGGUCAGUUUCUAUCUUCAAUUUAAUUUUACUAAUAAGUACGAAAGGACCAUUAAUUAAUAAUAAUUAUUUAUUUUUU